UAACUAACUUCCAAGCUGCCCUGCCAAAUAUAUGUUAGUUAAAAUAGCCUGUGUCCCUCUUUCAUCAGUAUUUAAAUCCAGACCAAGCACAGGAUUCUGCAGGGUUUAACCCCACACAAAAGGAGAAUUUUGGAAUUUAGUCAAAGGGCAGACAGCUGUGGAUGAAGGUUAUGGAACAGAUGAGCCAAGCCCUGCCAUUGUCCUUGUCCUUCUGCUGGACAUUCACACCAGGUAUCUAUGCAGACACACAAUAUCUAUCCACCUGCCUUUGACCACACUGUUAUAUGUUUUGGAUUCUCAGUGGUUAACCCUACACCAGAAGAUCAUUAACUGCAGGUGUGAGAACCGGAGGCUGAAAACACAGGCUUGAAAGAACACACUGCACCUCAGUGCUGCUGGAGUAAUGCCUGCAGAGGCAAAGUUUAGCACAUGGGCUGUGGGAAAAGUUGCCAUGUGCAAGAACUUGGAGGAAACCUACCUCUUCCCUUGAUACACCAGCCUGCAGGGUCUGGCCCUGGCGUCUAGGGCUGUGGUCAUGAUUUUGAAGUCUACCAGCACAAGAAAGCAACUUUUACCUCUGGAUCAAGGCUAGGCAACCAGAUGAAAGCAGUUCAGUUACUAAACCUGUUUUCACUUUCAAAACUGAUACAGCUGUGAAUCACCUCAAAAUGAAAUAAAGCUCUUCUGUUCUCACA
RNAcentral lists this long non-coding RNA (695 nucleotides) under Anser cygnoides (Swan goose). RNAcentral describes it as "lncRNA (ENSACDG00005002058.1)". Lineage: Eukaryota; Metazoa; Chordata; Aves; Anseriformes; Anatidae. The record is from RNAcentral.